AUUAGGGUUUGAAAAACUAGGGUUCUUUUAGAGAGACAGAGAUAGAAAAACUAGGUUUCUUCAAAUUUUUCCAUCUUUGUUUUCUUAUUUUGUUUACGAAAAUACAAAAAAAAUUAGUGUCCGUGUUUUUCUUUUUUGUUUCGAUCACUGCCUCAAAAAUUCAAAAAAAUAUAUGUUCCGUCUCUCCUCUUAUAAUUUUGAAUUCUGGUUUCAACAUGGAGAUUGAUUGAGCUGAGAUAAAGUUGGCCGUUUGAGUCCGAGUUCGUGGUUUUUGCAUCUUGUCACACUGUAGCUGCUGUCUUCUUUGAAUUUUCAUCGUCAGAUUCACUUGUAUUUGAUUCAAAGCAGAAUUAAUCAAAUUUGUUGCAAUUCAGGUUUGUUAUGUUUUCUUACUCUGUUUUUUGAUGAUUGAUUGAAGUAUGACAAGGGACAAGAGGGGUUGCUCUGAUGGUAAGCAACCCCCACUUCCAACCGAGAGGUUGUAAGUUCGACAAUGCAAUAGUGACUUGGUGUGGUUAAUUUUCUUAACACUGUUAGCAUUACUUCAGACAAGAGGGGUUGCUCUGAUGGUAAGCAACCUCCACUUCCAACCGAGAGGUUGUAAGUUCGAGUCUCCCCAACAGCAAGGUGGGAAGUUCUUGGAGGGAAGGAUGCCGGAGGUCUAUUUGGAAACAGCCUCUCUAUCCAAGGAUAAGGGUAAGGUCUGCGUACACACUAUCCUCCCAGACCCCAAUAAGUGGGAUUAUACUGGGUUGUUGUUGUUGAUUGAAGUAUGAUAAGAGCCCUAGCUGUUGUGUUCGGGGUCUGCGGCUAAUUCACGAACUUGUAGGUUAUUGACGGGUUGUUUCAAAAGGGAUUAUAUUUGAAUAUGUACUUCGAAGUUUUGUUUUGCACCUGACAUGAACACUUGUUGCUUUAAUCUCAUGGUUUUGCGAUAUGUGAGUAGGAGGAUCAAUGUUUUAAAUGCUUAAUACAUAGCUGAAUCUCAGUUUCAGCUGCUUCUGCUAAAUGCAGUAACAUUAUGGUUCUUAUGCUUCUAUUAGCUUUGUUUUCCAUUUGGUGAAGAUUGGCAUACAAUAUGUUUUCGAGUGAUAACCUAAUAUCCAUAUUAGUUUCUAAAAGCCUGUUACGUUGUGAUUUAGUUGGGAGUUACCUUCUAGUUGUGAUUUGUGCUCGAGAGAGUUAUUUGUCAAUCAGUUCUUAUUAUGCGAUGUGCCAUCUUGCGGCACGAUACGAGUAGUUGAAAAAUGAAACAUUUAGGUUAUAGUUAAGUUUCCAAAUUAGAUCCAUUCGUCUUUGGUUUAUUGACGUGCAAUCUGUUCACAUCUGUUGAUUUCUUU
RNAcentral lists this long non-coding RNA (1340 nucleotides) under Nicotiana benthamiana. RNAcentral describes it as "long non-coding RNA (NBEN_LNC008025)". The record is from RNAcentral. Lineage: Eukaryota; Viridiplantae; Streptophyta; Magnoliopsida; Solanales; Solanaceae.